Molecule: long non-coding RNA, 2639 nt
Organism: Labrus mixtus (cuckoo wrasse)
Lineage: Eukaryota; Metazoa; Chordata; Actinopteri; Labriformes; Labridae
Exons: 2
Source: RefSeq, a predicted model, not a curated record
GAAACCACGUCUGGGGAUCAUGCCGACAGCUGUGAAUCUCCGCCGAGGUUUAGUACAGACGUCGAACAUCAUAACUUUAUAUUUUAUAUUUAAAUUGAAUCAGCAGAGAAAAUCUCCUUUAAGUCAUUUUAUUUAUAUCUAUGAAGAAAAUCAAAAGAAAAUUCUGAGAUAUAAAAUCAGCUUCAUGAAAAAAGACUUUUUGAAAUGUGUGUGUGUGUGUGUGUGUGUUUGUGUGUGUAGUGUGUGUGUCUGUGUGUGUGUGUGUGUGUGUGUGUUUGUGUGUGUUUGUGUGUGUGUGUGUGUGUGUGUAGUGUGUGUGUCUGUGUGUGUGUGUGUGUGUGUGUGUGUGUUUGUGUGUGUGUGUGUGUAGUGUGUGUGUCUGUGUGUGUGUGUGUAGUGUGUGUGUCUGUCUGUGUGUGUGUGUGUUUGUGUGUGUGUGUGUUUGUGUGUGUUUGUGUGUGUGUGUGUCUUUGUGUCUGUGUGUGUGACUGUGUGUGUGUGUAGUGUGUGUCUGUGUGUGUGUGUGUGUAGUGUGUGUGUGUGUGUGUGUGUGUGUGUGUGUGUAGUGUGUGUGUGUGUGUGUGUGUGUGUGUGUGUGUAGUGUGUGUGUGUGUGUGUGUGUGUGUGUCGUCUUGCUUUGCGUCUGUUUAUCAAUCAGGGAGAUCUUUGAAGUCCGAUGGAGCUUCUGACCUCGAACAUGAAGCUCGCAGCGGAGCGAGGAGAGCGCGGCGUCCAGCGAGGAAUCACGUCAGGCGGACGGUCGAUCAUGUUUAGUUUUCAUAUCAAAUCAAAGAUGUUUGAGAGGCUCCUAAAGGUUUCUGAUCCGAGGCUGAUCGUCACAGAGUCAGAGCGGACGCCUUAACGAGUCUUUAGUUCCUAGUUUUCUCAUUUCUCUUCAGAUUCUAACCCAGUUCUUAUUGUAACACAUUCUCGUUGUCCCUCUUUGAGAUGAAGUGGUUCUCAGCCGGUUCCCCUCAGUUGGAGUUGAUCGCAAACCAAACUGAUCAGAUUUAUUUAAUUAGACGGUGCAAAACAUGUGACAGAAGAAUGAGCGACUUUUUUGAUCCAGUAGAUGUCGCCCUUGAGCACCAACAGGAAACCAAAACAAACUUCUGUUAGGCCACGCCUCCAACUCUCCCCUCCCCUCGCAUUUUGCACAAAGAAGUUUAGCACAAGCAGUUUACUAAAUAGCCCUUUACUCGAGCUGCAAUCACCUGUGUCCUGCGUUGUUGUGUUAGCAUGCUAAUGUUAGCGCUCUUUAGUUAGCUCGUAGCUUCACAUUGUUGUGUUAGCAUGCUAAUUUUAGCGCUCUUUAGUUAGCUCCUUCAUGUAAACUGACACAGAAUGAGCGUGAUCUAAAAACUCUUACUAACAUCCAAAUAAUCAGUGAGUAUGUUCUUCUUCUUCUCUCUAGUUCUUGACUAAAACAGCUUUUAUACACAAGGGGAGGAGCCGGCCGUCCCGUCCAUGUAAACACGACUCUGACAACAACACAGCCAGCGGGACUCGAGCUUCUCCCUCAUUGUAGACAGUCAUGACUCAGAGACACAUUUACACAGGACAGACUUGAUGAUUUAAGUGUCGCACAUCCUUCCUUUAAAAAGCGCUUCAUAGACUUUUUUGGAGUCACAUAUUCGCUCCCCAUCGAUAACAGCUCCCUGACCCACCCGUUGAGAACCACGUCACUAAACGAGGAUGACACCGACCAGCUGAGUGAGAGCAGCCUUCAUAAGUCACAGACUGAUGGAAACUGUUCAGCUCCAUCCUCCUCCUCCAUCCAUCCAGCUGCUUUUCAGACACGCACACAUGUUGCAGAGUUAUUACCGAUCAUCACCGAGGUGUCCUUACCAUCGAGCUUCAGGUCACAAAGAGGAGAGGCUGAACGAGGAUCCUGGCCUAGAAAAGUCUUUUAAUUGUGAUCCAAAUCGCUUCAGACGUUUGGAGUAAAAAAUGAAAAACCAGACGGUCUGAGUCAAAGAGAAAGUGAGAGUAAGUCAUGCCUUAAAGGAGGUGGAGGUGGACGCUGGUUAAAGGAGCUCGUUAUUGAGUCCUCAGAGAGCGGGGGGGGGGGGAGAGGGGAGAGAUAUUGAUGUGUUAAAUGCUGCAUGAGGGAGGCGGCGUUGUGUUCCUGACAGGGCGCCCUCAUUCUCCCUCCUCACCACAACAAAUCAUCUGGGAGCAAACUGUCCUGACUCCUCCUCCUCACGGUGGAAGAAAAACAAAAAACACAGCGAGGGUACAAAUCAGACGGAGUUACAAGACAGGUUUGAUUUGACUGACGGCGUUUAGUCUCAUAAAAACCUCUUUUUUCACAUUCCACGUUUGACGCCUUGAGUUUGACCUCCUGUCUCAUUUUGUUUGUUUAAAUCACUUUUUCACUCGUUCAGGACGAGCACAGACGCUGACGACUUUACUUGAAAACCGGCUUUUUUUAAAAAACUUUGCUUUGCUGUUAUUUGAAAGGAAUAAAGUCGAGGUAGCACCUGAAGUAUGAGCCCUGUGUGGGGGCGUGUGAUCUGUACUGUAUGUCUUGUGAUCUUUGUAUCGUUUGAACCAAAGAGAGGAUGUUCCUGCCGAGUUUCAUUUCCAGAAACCUCGAGGGGCCUUAAGAUGUUCAAUCAUUCAGUCAUGAAGAAGAA